Cotesia glomerata is the source of this 1111-nucleotide RNA transcript. It is a transcript of the gene named inosine triphosphate pyrophosphatase, with no coding region annotated. Lineage: Eukaryota; Metazoa; Arthropoda; Insecta; Hymenoptera; Braconidae. The record is from RefSeq and is a predicted model, not a curated record. The transcript is spliced from 3 exons.
GUGAGAUUAAGUAUAUAUCACUAGUUCUGUGCGAAUGUUACGAUAGUUCUUGUUAUUCGUGUAAUCGAGGAAUCCCCACUGGUUUCUACGAAUCGCUGACAAUCCUAGAUAAACCUGGUUUUUUUUAAUGCAUACAGACAGAUAAAACUACUGAGGAUAGAAAAGCAAAAUGUAAAGCCAAUGAAAAAAGAAAUGGAUAAGAAAGAAAAAAUAAAAAUGAGAUGAAAAUUAAAAAAAUAGAGUUGAAUAUCGAUUUGUGAGGAGUAUUUUAGAGAAUGGAAAAGAGAAUCUUGAGAUUCUUUCCAAUGAUCAUCCUGUCCUCGAAAGAAAUGACUUCCGGCCAUGGAUGAAGUAGACAGAUUUUACGAGAGUGAUUGAAAAACUUUUAAGCAAUGGAUAUUUUUACUGCGCUAUCAAAAGUUGUUACCAUUAGAAAAUGGCGUGGUGUGUAUUUCAAUUUUAAGGUUAUGUCCAGAGUCUUAGCUAAGAACCAGAGAUGCGUCAAAUACCGCCAUUCGACAAACUAUGAAUCACUAAUAGUAUAAAUUUAAAAAAAAAAUAAAAUAAGUUACCUGUGACUGAAUGCGGAAUAUUGAAAUCCAUGUAAAAAAAUCCGUGAAUCUAGUGCGUGUCAAUAGCGCAUUUAACUUGUCAAACAAACAUCACUUUCAAUGAACACUCAAAAAAAAUAAGAUCAACUCAUUUCCACAAAAAACACAAAAUAUAAAUAGAUAUUUUUUUUGUAUGAUAAUAAAUAGAUAUAUAAAUAUAUAUUGAAAAACACGACAAUUACACAAAAUAAAGGAUAUGACUAUUGGAAAGGGACGAGGAUAUGACACUUGUGAAAUUUAUCACAACUUGUAUUCUCACACGUGGAAAUCACCUGGGCACUGUUUUUAUAAGAUUAAAACGUCGGCUAUCCCUUGAAUUUCCGUCAUAACUUUAUAAAUUAAUCAGUUUACACACAAACUUCUCUGUACAUGUCUUAAAAAUAAAAACACCUAUAAUUACACGACUUUAAUCUCUCAAUCGUUUUCACAAUUAUACUCAGACUUUAAACUCACUUAUUCACUUAAUAAAAAAAAAAUUUCACUCUUCCAACGAUGCACAU